RNAcentral lists this ribosomal RNA (511 nucleotides) under uncultured Glomeraceae. RNAcentral describes it as "SSU rRNA". It matches the Rfam family "Eukaryotic small subunit ribosomal RNA", at positions 569 to 1077 of the family's 1831-position model. Lineage: Eukaryota; Fungi; Glomeromycota; Glomeromycetes; Glomerales; Glomeraceae. The record is from RNAcentral.
AGCAGCCGCGGUAAUUCCAGCUCCAAUAGCGUAUAUUAAAGUUGUUGCAGUUAAAAAGCUCGUAGUUGAACUUCGGGAUCAAUGGAUCGGUCAUGCCAUCGGUAUGUACUGGUCUCAUUGGUUCUCACCUUCUAAGGAACCUUAAUGUCAUUCAUUUGAUGUUUUGGGGAAUUAGGACUGUUACCUUGAAAAAAUUAGAGUGUUUAAAGCAGGCUAACGCUUGAAUACAUUAGCAUGGAAUAAUGAAAUAGGACAUCGCAUUCUAUUUUGUUGGUUUCUAGGAUCGAUGUAAUGAUUAAUAGGGAUAGUUGGGGGCAUUAGUAUUCAAUUGUCAGAGGUGAAAUUCUUGGAUUUUAUUGAAGACUAACUACUGCGAAAGCAUUUGCCAAGGAUGUUUUCAUUAAUCAAGAACGAAAGUUAGGGGAUCGAAGACGAUCAGAUACCGUCGUAGUCUUAACCAUAAACUAUGCCGACUAGGGAUCGGAUGAUGUUGUAUUUUUUUAAUGUACUU